Saccostrea cuccullata (small rock oyster) is the source of this 260-nucleotide long non-coding RNA. RefSeq lists it as uncharacterized. Lineage: Eukaryota; Metazoa; Mollusca; Bivalvia; Ostreida; Ostreidae. The record is from RefSeq and is a predicted model, not a curated record. The transcript has 3 exons.
UUUGAACUGCAUACAGCAGCAGAAAGCAGGAUUUCAGUUCCCCUUUGAUUCAGAAGAGGAACAACAAUGGAGGACCAAGGUCAUUAAUAUAAGAAGAGUCUAUUCCUGUCUGUGUUUUGCAGCAGAAGAAAGUUAAGACUGACCAGGAAUUCUAAGUGAGGAAGAGUCCCUUUCCCAUUCCGCUGCAGCCAUGAGGAGAAUACUCGUAAGAAUCAGACUUUACUUCUUUUUCACCUAUGGAACUUCAUCAUGACUCACUU